Molecule: long non-coding RNA, 297 nt
Filed under: Dromaius novaehollandiae (emu)
Lineage: Eukaryota; Metazoa; Chordata; Aves; Casuariiformes; Dromaiidae
Description: lncRNA (ENSDNVG00000010178.1)
Source: RNAcentral
GAAUCCUGUUGGGGUUUUAAGCAGAACUAGCAUUUGACUAACAGAGAAAAAUCUAGGACUGGACCAUGUGAUGACAUGGAAAUGCUGGAUUACGUUUCAUUCCAUCCUUGUUUCAGGGGGUCUCUCAAAUCAAGAGCUGUGUCUGUGUCUGGCGUUCUAGAAGAUCUUGGGUAUAGGGCACCACUGUAGCUUGAGUGAGUGUGGUUCUGCGGACAAGUGACAGCAACAGAAGCUGAAAGCUGGAAAUGGUCUCCCAAAGGCUCUGAGGCUGAAAUCUGAGGCUUAAAAAGAACAAUG